Molecule: ribosomal RNA, 245 nt
Filed under: uncultured bacterium
Lineage: Bacteria
Description: partial 16S ribosomal RNA
Rfam family: Bacterial small subunit ribosomal RNA
Source: RNAcentral
GACGAACCGUGCAAACGUUAUUCGGAUUCACUGGGCUUAAAGGGCGCGUAGGCGGGCCGCCAAGUCAGGGGUGAAAUCUUUCGGCUCAACCGGAAAAGUGCCUCUGAUACUGGCGGCCUCGAGGGAGGUAGGGGCAUGCGGAACUUCCGGUGGAGCGGUGAAAUGCGUAGAUAUCGGAAGGAACGCCGGUGGCGAAAGCGGCGUGCUGGACCUCUUCUGACGCUGAGGCGCGAAAGCUAGGGGAG